AUUGAACGCUGGCGGCAUGCCUUACACAUGCAAGUCGAACGGCAGCACGGGGGCAACCCUGGUGGCGAGUGGCGAACGGGUGAGUAAUACAUCGGAAUGUACCCAGUAGUGGGGGGAUAACUAGUCGAAAGAUUAGCUAAUACCGCAUACGCACUAUGGUGGAAAGCGGGGGAUCGCAAGACCUCGCGCUAUUGGAGCAGCCGAUGUCCGAUUAGGUAGUUGGUGGGGUAAAGGCCUACCAAGCCUGCGAUCGGUAACUGGUCUGAGAGGACGACCAGUCACACUGGGACUGAGACACGGCCCAGACUCCUACGGGAGGCAGCAGUGGGGAAUUUUGGACAAUGGGGGAAACCCUGAUCCAGCAAUGCCGCGUGUGUGACGAAGGCCU
Molecule: ribosomal RNA, 388 nt
Filed under: uncultured bacterium
Lineage: Bacteria
Description: bacterial SSU rRNA
Rfam family: Bacterial small subunit ribosomal RNA
Source: RNAcentral